Molecule: ribosomal RNA, 419 nt
Filed under: uncultured bacterium
Lineage: Bacteria
Description: partial 16S ribosomal RNA
Rfam family: Bacterial small subunit ribosomal RNA
Source: RNAcentral
UGGGGAAUAUUGCACAAUGGGCGAAAGCCUGAUGCAGCAACGCCGCGUGAGUGAUGAAGGUCUUCGGAUUGUAAAGCUCUGUCUUUUGGGACGAUAAUGACGGUACCAAAGGAGGAAGCCACGGCUAACUACGUGCCAGCAGCCGCGGUAAUACGUAGGUGGCGAGCGUUGUCCGGAUUUACUGGGCGUAAAGGGUGCGUAGGCGGAUGUUUAAGUGAGAUGUGAAAUACCCGGGCUUAACUUGGGUGCUGCAUUUCAAACUGGAUAUCUAGAGUGCAGGAGAGGAGAAUGGAAUUCCUAGUGUAGCGGUGAAAUGCGUAGAGAUUAGGAAGAACACCAGUGGCGAAGGCGAUUCUCUGGACUGUAACUGACGCUGAGGCACGAAAGCGUGGGUAGCAAACAGGAUUAGAUACCCUGGU